Molecule: small nuclear RNA, 158 nt
Organism: Capsicum annuum
Lineage: Eukaryota; Viridiplantae; Streptophyta; Magnoliopsida; Solanales; Solanaceae
Product: U1 spliceosomal RNA
Exons: 1
Source: RefSeq, a predicted model, not a curated record
UUAUUUUUGUGCUUUAUUUCAAUGGGCGAUCAAUAGGGUUCAUAGCUAGUUUGAUAACCUCCAUUGCACUUUGGUUGAUGCACGCUUUUGCUAGAUCCAAGUGGUCGAGCCUAUGUCAUUAUUUGUGGCAAUAGGGGCCUGCAUCGUGCAGCCCCUAC